RNAcentral lists this ribosomal RNA (584 nucleotides) under uncultured bacterium. RNAcentral describes it as "bacterial SSU rRNA". It matches the Rfam family "Bacterial small subunit ribosomal RNA", at positions 10 to 573 of the family's 1533-position model. The record is from RNAcentral.
AGUUUGAUCCUGGCUCAGAACUAACGCUGGUGGCGUGUCUUAGUCAUGCAAGUCGAACGAGAAAGUACCCUUCGGGGUGCGAGUAAAGUGGCGAACGGGUGAGUAACACGUGGGUAACCUACCUUUGAGUGGGGAACAAUCCCUCUAACGAGGGGCUAAUACCGCAUAAUGCAGCGGCUCCGCAUGGAGACAGUUGUUAAAGGGGCAGCUUCGGUUGUCUCGCUUGAAGAUGGACCCGCGGUCCAUUAGCUUGUUGGUGAGGUAACGGCUCACCAAGGCAACGAUGGAUAGCCGGCCUGAGAGGGUGUACGGCCACACUGGAACUGAGAAAGGUCCAGUCCCCUACGGGGGCCAGCAGUCUAGAAAUUUGCGCAAUGGGCGAAAGCCUGACGCAGCGACGCCACGUGGAGGAUGAAGCCCUUAGGGGUGUAAACUCCUGUCAGAAGGGAAGAAUGCAGGAAAUAACUUUUCCUGUUUGACGGUACCUUCAGAGGAAGCCCCGGCUAACUUCGUGCCAGCAGCCGCGGUAAUACGAAAGGGGGCAAGCGUUGUUCGGGAUUUACUGGGGCGUUAAAGGGCGUGCA